RNAcentral lists this unclassified non-coding RNA (198 nucleotides) under uncultured Sebacina. RNAcentral describes it as "sequence contains ITS2". Lineage: Eukaryota; Fungi; Basidiomycota; Agaricomycetes; Sebacinales; Sebacinaceae. The record is from RNAcentral.
UGUACUCUCACACCCUGGUCUUUGGAUUGGGAUGGUGGACUUGGGUGUUGCUGCUUCGUUGUGGCUCACCUCAAAUACAGUAGUGCAACUCUUGAUGGAACCAGAGUACGGCGUGAUAAGUGUCUUCGCCGGCACCUCUCCUGAGGAUGGCCAUGCAAGAGCUCUGUGCUCCAAACUGUCUUUGGACAAUCCCUGACG